AGGAUCCAGUUCCCUAAGUGGAUGCCUUCCUUACUAGCCUUGUCACUUGUAUCACUUUGAACAUGAAAGAAGAAACAGAUGUAAGCAAAUUCUGGUCCUGCCCUUAGUCAGCAGACUGCAAGUUAGUGCCAGGUUUUCAGGAGCCAAAUCAGAUCCGAAUACAGGGCAGUCAGAUGACAUCAUUUUCACCAGCUAUUGUUUAAUGGUAUGAUUUGCAGGUUAUGACAUCUCUCUGAAUCAUCUGAUCUGGAUCAUCUCUCUAAAAUGCCCUCUUUUUUCUCCUACUGAUAGCUCCCACACACAGGGAAUUAACAAG
This 316-nucleotide long non-coding RNA is filed under the name Cyanistes caeruleus (blue tit). RNAcentral describes it as "lncRNA (ENSCCEG00000023946.1)". The record is from RNAcentral. Lineage: Eukaryota; Metazoa; Chordata; Aves; Passeriformes; Paridae.